AAAAGGACUCUCGGCAACGGAUAUCUCGGCUCUUGCAUCGAUGAAGAACGUAGCUAAAUGCGAUACUUGGUGUGAAUUGCAGAAUCCCGUGAACCAUCGAGUUUUUGAACGCAAGUUGCCGCCUGAAACCAUUAGGUUGAGGGCACGCCUGCCUGGGUGUCACAC
RNAcentral lists this ribosomal RNA (165 nucleotides) under Cleobulia multiflora. RNAcentral's name for it is "5.8S ribosomal RNA". It matches the Rfam family "5.8S ribosomal RNA". Rfam says of the family: 5.8S ribosomal RNA (5.8S rRNA) is a component of the large subunit of the eukaryotic ribosome. Lineage: Eukaryota; Viridiplantae; Streptophyta; Magnoliopsida; Fabales; Fabaceae. The record is from RNAcentral.